Molecule: small nucleolar RNA, 98 nt
Organism: Otolemur garnettii (small-eared galago)
Lineage: Eukaryota; Metazoa; Chordata; Mammalia; Primates; Galagidae
Source: Ensembl
AUCCUUUUGUAGUUCAUAUGCCUGAUGAUUGGGGUUUCAUGUCCAUGUUUGAGAUGUGCCUCCCACAAAUCUUGUAAUGGCACAUUGCCCGUCUGAUA